Molecule: ribosomal RNA, 256 nt
Filed under: uncultured Gardnerella sp.
Lineage: Bacteria; Bacillati; Actinomycetota; Actinomycetes; Bifidobacteriales; Bifidobacteriaceae
Description: partial 16S ribosomal RNA
Rfam family: Bacterial small subunit ribosomal RNA
Source: RNAcentral
CUAACGGGUGAGUAAUGCGUGACCAACCUGCCCCAUGCUCCAGAAUAGCUCUUGGAAACGGGUGGUAAUGCUGGAUGCUCCAACUUGACGCAUGUCUUGUUGGGAAAGUGUUUAGUGGCAUGGGAUGGGGUCGCGUCCUAUCAGCUUGUAGGCGGGGUAAUGGCCCACCUAGGCUUCGACGGGUAGCCGGCCUGAGAGGGCGGACGGCCACAUUGGGACUGAGAUACGGCCCAGACUCCUACGGGAGGCAGCAGUU